This 447-nucleotide ribosomal RNA is filed under the name uncultured bacterium. RNAcentral describes it as "bacterial SSU rRNA". It matches the Rfam family "Bacterial small subunit ribosomal RNA", at positions 355 to 825 of the family's 1533-position model. The record is from RNAcentral.
UGGGGAAUAUUGGACAAUGGGCGAAAGCCUGAUCCAGCCAUGCCGCGUGAGUGACGAAGGCCUUAGGGUUGUAAAACUCUUUCGUCGGGGACGAUAAUGACGGUACCCGAAGAAGAAGCUCCGGCUAACUUCGUGCCAGCAGCCGCGGUAAUACGAAGGGAGCUAGCGUUGUUCGGAAUCACUGGGCGUAAAGUGCACGUAGGCGGAUAGUUAAGUCAGGGGUGAAAUCCUGGGGCUCAACCCCAGAACUGCCUUUGAUACUGGCUGUCUCGAGGUCGAGAGAGGUUGGUGGAAUUCCUAGUGUAGAGGUGAAAUUCGUAGAUAUUAGGAAGAACACCAGUGGCGAAGGCGGCCAACUGGCUCGAUACUGACGCUGAGGUGCGAAAGCGUGGGGAGCAAACAGGAUUAGAUACCCACGUAGUCCCUGAGCGGGCUGGCAAGGCGCAU